This is a long non-coding RNA of Pygocentrus nattereri (red-bellied piranha), 737 nucleotides long. RefSeq lists it as uncharacterized. The transcript has 4 exons. The record is from RefSeq and is a predicted model, not a curated record. NCBI's taxonomy places the organism in Eukaryota, Metazoa, Chordata, Actinopteri, Characiformes, Serrasalmidae.
CAAAGAGGCUCAAUCCAGGCCCUACAUGGUGUCUCUCCAAGUAGGGACACAGCACUUCUGUGGUGGCUUCCUUGUGAGUGAACAAUUCGUCAUGACGGCUGCGCAGUGCAAGGAAAAGGGAAAACCAUGGACAGAUGUGACAGCAGUGAUAGGAGCUCAUAAUCUAAAGACCAACAGCUUUCAGCGCAUACAACUGAUGGAUUCCUACAGCCACCCAGACUUUAAAAUGGACCCAAAAUACCCAGCAAAAUGACAUCAUGCUACUGAAGCUAGCCAAGCGAGUUGUAAGCAACACAAUUCGCAUCCCAGAAAAAGACGAAGACUUUACGCAAAACACCGCUUGCAGUAUAGCUGGUUGGGGAAGCAUAAGAAAUAAUGGACCUACAAAUGAUGUUUUUUGGAGGCAGAUGUCACAAUGUUAAGCAGCGAGAACUGCAAACAUUGGUGGAACUUCAACAACAUACUGUGUACAGACCGUCAUCAUGGUGGAUUUUGCACGGGAGACUCUGGAGGUCCUUUGGUGUGUAAUAAUACUGCAGUUGGAGUCAUUGCCUUCUAUGAAAAGACCUGCAUAAAUCCCCCAAGACCAUAUGGCUACACAAAGAUUUCUGCAUUCCUGCCCUGGAUAGAAAAAAUAAUGGGUAAAAUAAAAUAAUUAGGAUUGUGAAUGGUUCAUUGGGGCUGACUUGACCUUACAAGUGUGGUUCAUGAUUCACAAUAAAUAAUUACACUGUGAA